UCAGGAUGAACGCUGGCGGCAUGCCUAACACAUGCAAGUCGAACGGGGUUUAUAUGACGGAACUCUCCGGAGGGAAGAUAUAUAAACCUAGUGGCGGACGGGUGAGUAACGCGUGGGCAACCUGCCCUGUACCGGGGGACAACAGCCAGAAAUGGCUGCUAAUACCGCAUAAGCCUGCUGUGCCGCAUGGCACAGCAGGGAAAACCACGGUGGUACAGGAUGGGCCCGCGUCUGAUUAGUUAGUUGGCAGGGUAACGGCCUACCAAGACAACGAUCAGUAGCCGGCUUGAGAGAGUGGACGGCCACAUUGGGACUGAGACACGGCCCAGACUCCUGCGGGAGGCAGCAGUGGGGAAUAUUGCACAAUGGGGGGAACCCUGAUGCAGCAAUGCCGCGUGGGUGAAGAAGCACUCCGGUGCGUAAAGCCCUGUCAGCAGGGAAGAAAAUGACAGUACCUGACCAAGAAGCCCCGGCUAACUACGUGCCAGCAGCCGCGGUAAUACGUAGGGGGCAAGCGUUAUCCGGAUUUACUGGGUGUAAAGGGAGCGCAGGCGGCGUGGCAAGUCAGAUGUGAAAACCCGGGGCCCAACCCCGGGAGUGCAUUUGAAACUGCCAUGCUGGAGUGCCGGAGAGGUAGCGGAAUUCCUAGUGUAGCGGUGAAAUGCGUAGAUAUUAGGAGGAACACCAGUGGCGGAGGCGGCUUACUGGACGGUAACUGACGCUGAGGCUCGAAAGCGUGGGGAGCAAACAGGAUUAGAUACCCUGGUAGUCCACGCCGUAA
RNAcentral lists this ribosomal RNA (781 nucleotides) under uncultured bacterium. RNAcentral's name for it is "bacterial SSU rRNA". It matches the Rfam family "Bacterial small subunit ribosomal RNA", at positions 24 to 805 of the family's 1533-position model. The record is from RNAcentral.